GACUCACUUUCUUCUCCCGGGUUUUUCUCUCUUCUCUCCGCCUCUCGAACUCCUCAAAGGAGAUUUUCCCUUCCAGUGAUUUGUCCAUUGAUGAGUCAGAGACAACCACAUUUACCUGGAGAUGGAGCCCAAUUGUUACAGCAGUAAUGAAACUGCCAAGAAGAAACAAUUGUGUCUUUCAGACUGAUUUUUGAGACUCAAAAUGGAAAGUCUAAAGGAAGUAGAACAUUGAAUUUAUAGCAUGACAAUUGAAUUAAAGAGUACAGAGAGGUGACUCUA
Long non-coding RNA from Peromyscus leucopus (white-footed mouse), 279 nucleotides. RefSeq lists it as uncharacterized. Lineage: Eukaryota; Metazoa; Chordata; Mammalia; Rodentia; Cricetidae. The record is from RefSeq and is a predicted model, not a curated record. The transcript has 2 exons.